AACGAACGCUGGCGGCAUGCCUAACACAUGCAAGUCGAACGAGACCUUCGGGUCUAGUGGCGCACGGGUGCGUAACGCGUGGGAACCUGCCCUUAGGUUCGGAAUAACUCCCCGAAAGGGGUGCUAAUACCGGAUAAUGUCUUCGGACCAAAGAUUUAUCGCCUUUGGAUGGGCCCGCGUUGGAUUAGCUAGUUGGUAGGGUAAAAGCCUACCAAGGCGACGAUCCAUAGCUGGUCUGAGAGGAUGAUCAGCCACACUGGGACUGAGACACGGCCCAGACCCCUACGGGGGGCAGCAGUGGGGAAAUUUGGAAAAGGGGCGAAAGCCUGACCCAGAAAUGCCGGGUGGGGGAUGAAGGCUUUAGGGUUGAAAAGCUCUUUUACCCGGGAUGAUAAGGAAAGUCCCGGGAGAAAAAGCCCCGGCUAACCCCGU
This 432-nucleotide ribosomal RNA is filed under the name uncultured bacterium. Its description in RNAcentral is "partial 16S ribosomal RNA". It matches the Rfam family "Bacterial small subunit ribosomal RNA", at positions 29 to 506 of the family's 1533-position model. The record is from RNAcentral.